Molecule: ribosomal RNA, 466 nt
Filed under: uncultured bacterium
Lineage: Bacteria
Description: partial 16S ribosomal RNA
Rfam family: Bacterial small subunit ribosomal RNA
Source: RNAcentral
GAUGAACGCUGGCGGCGUGCUUAACACAUGCAAGUCGAACGGAAAGGCCCAAGCUUGCUUGGGUACUCGAGUGGCGAACGGGUGAGUAACACGUGGGUGAUCUGCCCUGCACUUCGGGAUAAGCCUGGGAAACUGGGUCUAAUACCGGAUAGGACCACAUUUUGGAUGGUGUGGUGGAAAGUUUUUCGGUGUGGGAUGAGCUCGCGGCCUAUCAGCUUGUUGGUGGGGUAAUGGCCUACCAAGGCGUCGACGGGUAGCCGGCCUGAGAGGGCGUACGGCCACAUUGGGACUGAGAUACGGCCCAGACUCCUACGGGAGGCAGCAGUGGGGAAUAUUGCACAAUGGGCGCAAGCCUGAUGCAGCGACGCCGCGUGGGGGAUGACGGCCUUCGGGUUGUAAACUCCUUUCGCUAGGGACGAAGCGUUAUGUGACGGUACCUGGAGAAGAAGCACCGGCUAACUACGUG